RNAcentral lists this ribosomal RNA (666 nucleotides) under uncultured fungus. RNAcentral's name for it is "eukaryotic LSU rRNA". It matches the Rfam family "Eukaryotic large subunit ribosomal RNA", at positions 24 to 664 of the family's 3401-position model. Lineage: Eukaryota; Fungi. The record is from RNAcentral.
CCCGCUGAACUUAAGCAUAUCAAUAAGCGGAGGAAAAGAAACUAACAAGGAUUCCCCUAGUAACUGCGAGUGAAGCGGGAAGAGCUCAAAUUUGAAGUCUGGCAGCUCUCUGAACUGUCCGAGUUGUAAUCUAGAGAAGUGUUACCUGUGCUGGACCGUGUACAAGUCUCCUGGAAUGGAGCGUCACAGAGGGUGAGAAUCCCGUCUUUGACACGGACUGCCUGCAUGUUUAUGGUGCGCUCUCAAAGAGUCGAGUUGUUUGGGAAUGCAGCUCAAAAUGGGUGGUAAAUGCCAUCUAAAGCUAAAUAUUGGCGAGAGACCGAUAGCGAACAAGUACCGUGAGGGAAAGAUGAAAAGCACUUUGGAAAGAGAGUGAAACAGUACGUGAAAUUGUUGAAAGGGAAACGCUUGAAGUCAGUCGCGUCGUCCGAGACUCAGCCUCGCCUCGGCUUGGUGUACUUCUCGGACGACGGGUCAGCAUCAAUUUUGCCCCUUGGAUAAUGGCGAGGGAAAUGUGACACCUUUGCGGGUGUGUUAUAGUCUCUAGUCGCAUGCAAGGGUCGGGAUUGAGGAACUCAGCACGCGCCUUCGGGCGUCGGGGUUCGCCCACGAUGCGUGCUUAGGAUGUUGGCGUAAUGGCUUUAAACGACCCGUCUUGAAACACGG